RNAcentral lists this long non-coding RNA (348 nucleotides) under Salvia miltiorrhiza (redroot sage). Its description in RNAcentral is "long non-coding RNA (SMIL_LNC000531)". The record is from RNAcentral. Lineage: Eukaryota; Viridiplantae; Streptophyta; Magnoliopsida; Lamiales; Lamiaceae.
GAGUGGGGCAGGAAACUGCCCCUCUUCUCGAGCGCGGAGUAUGCGGAGGCAUUGGAGAAAGUGUGUUUUCGACUGGGCGUCACCGACGGAUGCGACAGAGAGGGUUUCCAGAAUCGGAUUCUGCGUACAGGGUGUGACAGACUCGACCUAAAAGCAGAGCGGGUCCCACGGAAUUCGUCUAGCGACCAUUUCUGUGGGACCUGUUGCUACGGAUGUGUCAGAGGAGACAAAAAGGGCACCGACACUACUUGGCUUGUCGACGCCGUCAAUGCCGGCGCGGUCGUCGUCUCCGGCUGCGAAGCCGAGAGGUUUCUGGUGACCAGGCGACGCUGCGUCGGAGUGACGGCG